This 533-nucleotide ribosomal RNA is filed under the name uncultured archaeon. RNAcentral's name for it is "bacterial SSU rRNA". It matches the Rfam family "Archaeal small subunit ribosomal RNA", at positions 81 to 612 of the family's 1478-position model. The record is from RNAcentral.
GCAGAUAGCUCAGUAACACGUGGCCAAGCUACCCUUCAGACUACGAUACCCUCGGGAAACUGAGACUAAUAGUGGAUACGGUACGCCUGCUGGAAUGCGGCGUACUCUAAACGCUCCGGCGCUGAAGGAUGCGCCUGCGGCCGAUUAGGUAGACGGUGGGGUAACGGCCCACCGUGCCAAUAAUCGGUACGGGUGAUGAGAGUCAGAGCCCGGAGACGGAAUCUGAGACAAGAUUCCGGGCCCUACGGGGCGCAGCAGGCGCGAAACCUUUACACUGCACGGAAGUGCGAUAGGGGAAUCCCAAGUGCGAGGGCAUACUAGCCCUCGCUUUUGUGUACUGUAAGGAGGUACACGAAUAAGAGCUGGGCAAGACCGGUGCCAGCCGCCGCGGUAAUACCGGCAGCUCGAGUGAUGUCCAAUUUUAUUGGGCCUAAAGCGUCCGUAGCUGGCCAGCCAAGUUCGUCGGGAAAUCCACCUGCCCAACAGGUGGGCGUCCGGCGAAAACUGUCUGGCUUGGAACCGGAAGGCUCAGA